GUACUUACCACUAGGGGGAGCGCCUUGGCCAACACCUCUGCUCAGUGGGGAGCCAGGCCGGCCCCAGGUGGUACCUCCCCCUUGCCCCACAUGAGGGACUUGCGGGGGACUUUGUCUUCAUCAUCCGCAGGGUGGAGCGGGGUGGCUUGGGACCUGGAGUCCGGGAAGAGUCGAAGGCCUGUGGGCGGCCGAGGUCACGCGUGGGCGCCUGCCGGGGGAGGGCGGAACCAGGAGGUUGGCACCGCAGUGCCUGUGUGCACCGAAGCGCAGCAAACACGUCUCGGCCGAGACUGCCCGGCCACCCCAGACUCCAGCGGAGCGUGCGUACUUGGGCAGUCGCGCGCAUCUGAGAACCGCCGAACCGUGCCACAUUUCCGUUCCUUCUGGCCUCGCCCUCAGGGGUCGACCGGCGGCAGAGCGCGGCGCCUCCUGUGCUGAAGAAAGCUCCCUGGCCUCCAGAAACUCAGUCAGUGGUGGGAGGGCCGGAACAGACCCGCGCAGUUAACCAGAUGAUGAUGUUGCUGUAGUAUAGCUUGGAGAGUGCAGAGAAGGAAGCAAGCAAUGCCAGCAAGGAGGAAUCCAGAAGGCUUCCAGGAGAAGUCACCAUUUGUGAUUUGGGCUUGCAUCAGGAGGAGGAAGUUGACAGCCAGGCCCUGCCCUCAGCCUCUGGCACCCCACGUCUCCAAGGCCUGAGCUCCUAUCCCUGGCCUACUGGCUGAGCAGGACGAGAGCCGGAUGAAGACAGGAUGAGCCGUCACCAGGGAUCCUCACCUCGGGGAACUGAGGCCUUAGAUGUGGCUGGGACUGGAGUCAACACUAGAAAGACUGGCAAGAGAAGGGGUCUGCAUUCUGGGACCCCAAACCAAGAUACCAAGAUGAGUCUUCAACAAACUGAUAAUCAGGUUGAGAGGUGAAAUCCACAGAGGGACAUGGGAAUGCUGGGAUUAAUGUCCCCAGUACUACUCUCAACCAAGAAGCACAGGAGUUAGUGGGUAAACAACCUGCUCCUCACCUUGGCUCUCCCGCCCCUUGGUGGGACAACCUGAAGCUGCAGGGCACAGCCCCUGAGAAUGUCGCCAGAAGGCUAGAGCCCCUGUGCCAACCAGACUUGUGCUUCCCAGGAUCUUCUCCCAAAUAAACCACUAUUCCCGAGUCCUGGCCUCAGGGUCUGCUUUAGAGGAACGCAAAUGAACCCAGGGUCCCAAGCUUUGCUACUACCGGCUAUGUGACCAUGAACAAAUGAAAUAACAUGUCUGAGCCUCAA
This is a non-coding RNA of Macaca mulatta (Rhesus monkey), 1264 nucleotides long. Lineage: Eukaryota; Metazoa; Chordata; Mammalia; Primates; Cercopithecidae. The record is from RefSeq and is a predicted model, not a curated record.